Rhamnusium bicolor is the source of this 75-nucleotide non-coding RNA. NCBI's taxonomy places the organism in Eukaryota, Metazoa, Arthropoda, Insecta, Coleoptera, Cerambycidae. The record is from the annotation of a GenBank genome assembly.
UGGUUUUUGGUCGAGAGGUAAGAACAUUUGCCUCUAACCUAGGAGUCCCGGGGUCGAUCCCCGGUCGAGGACUAA